Molecule: long non-coding RNA, 284 nt
Filed under: Lathyrus oleraceus (garden pea)
Lineage: Eukaryota; Viridiplantae; Streptophyta; Magnoliopsida; Fabales; Fabaceae
Description: Pisum sativum (pea) long non-coding RNA (PSAT_LNC002536)
Source: RNAcentral
AAUCAAAUUCAUGCCACUAUAUUAUCAGUAGAACAUGAGUUCAUCAUGGAUAAAAGAUAGAACAGUUGGUGAUGCCUCAAGAAAUCAGUUAUGCAUCAAGAAGAAGAAGAAGAAAGUGGUUACAUCCAAGAAGAAGAAAGGAAAGGAAAAAUAUUGUUCUGUUGAAUGAAUAAUAAUGAGUUACAAUGCUGUUUAUAUAUACAAGAAGAAGGAGUAUAGUAAGCUAAUGUGGAAAAGCUAUACAUAAUAAUCUGUUAAUUCUAAUAUCCCCCCUCAAGGUGGAC